GGAGACUCCUGGAUGUCUGGCCCAAAGCUGGAGGCUCUGAAAGGGCUGAGAGAUGAUUUGGAAGAUACCAUUUGACUGCUUUUUACUGACGUGACCAUAUGUCUACCCGGAGAUUGGAGACCUUGGACAGCUGGAGCCACAGCAACACCACAGAUCCAAACAGCAUCUUCAACCUACGGUGCAGCUUGCAGCGAUGUUGGAACUUUAACUCACUGAGAGUUGGUUUAUGAGCACAACUCUGAAUGCAUGAUUUAAAAUGACAUUGGCUGGAGUUCCCGUCGUGGCGCAGUGGAAACGAAUCCAACUAGGAACCAUGAAGUUGCAGGUUCAAUCCCUGGCCUUGAUCAGUGGGUUAAGAAUCCGGCGUUGCUGUGAGCUGUGGUGAAGGGUCGCAGAUGUGGCUCAGAUCCCGUGUUGCUGUGGCUGUGGUGUAGGCUGGCAGCUGUAGCUCCAAUUUGACCCUAGCCUGGGAACCUCCACAUGCGGAACCCAGACCAAUGAAGACAAGAGAGCUGCUCUUUGUGUGACGCAUUUCCUCACCCAGCCGCAGAUUGCAACAGAGGAGAUGAGAUAAAGAUGAGGAACCUCAACAGAAAGGAUGGAUGUAAACAGUGGGUUUGCUGUGCAGUGACAAGAGCCCAGCUUGGGAAGGGUGUUGAGUGGGGUGAAGAUGUCACAGGAACUCACGAAAGCCAGAGGAGUUCACAGUUCAGAGAAGCUUUUUGAGCUCCCAAGAGGAUGUAAAGGGCACAAGGUCACCUUUAUUGAACUGUUUUCCUGUUGGCCAUCCCUUCUGGGCCCCAAGUUCUGCAUUUGCAGCAUCUGGCACAGUGCUGGGCACAUCCUGAGCUUGAGAAAAGGUAGGUGAACCAAGAAAUGCAUGAAUGAAUGAACAAGGGGUCCGAUAAUGGCUUCUGGGUAGAUGGAUUCUUUGUGGAAGUUGGGAAAAGGCUGAGGGAUCCUGAGAUGGAGAGGAAUCUGAGAGAGGAGAAGGAUGCAGGAGUGGUGGUUGACUAGCCCCUCACCCCAUGCUGCCUCCUGCUGACUCACAUGUCUUGGAACUCCCGGGCUUUGCAGCCUCCUAUCCCGGGCCCCUGGCUCUCAGCCCUCCUUUCCGCCUGUCGGCCACUUAAUCACAUACAGAAGAAGUAAACUCCCCAAGGUCCCUGUUGUGUGGUCCUCUCCUCAAAGUCUGUUUCCCCACCUCGAUUUCUGGAAGUCCCUUUGGAGGAUCUGACAGACAGUCUCCCUUUCCCACCCCUCCAGCUGGACAGGCUCAGGAAACAGAAGGAGUUUUCUGGGAACAGACUGGAGAGGAGGAGCCAGUUAAAGUGACAAAAGGCACAAGUUUGAACUUCCUGUGUCCUGCGCCUGCUGCCGGAGCAGGGCUCUGAGCUGCCUCCAGAAUGGCCCACUGGUCAUGGGGGAAGUAAGAGAGAUUUGCUCACAGCAGGGCAUUUACUUAUAAGCUGGCCCACCCUGGGAUUUGGCCUCGAUGGUGGACAAUCUCCCUGCAUAAGGAAACCCUCUGCAGGGAACUCUUCCAAGGGAGAAGGAGACCAGCCAGACAAGCCUGGCCCGGGAUCAAAGCUCUGGGCCUCAGAGGGUGGGCUGAGUCGAGGAUGGGCUGGAUCUAACUUCUGGGUCAGCGCCAUGAGCAGCGCAGACCCGGCAUGACAGCGGGAUUGGGGGGGGGGGGCAGCACCCCUCCUCGUUGGCUCUUGGAACCUGGCCUUUUGGGCACCUGCCUAGGAGGUGUCAGAAACCAGCAGAGGCCAUGUGUGUGUGGUGGCCGCAGGGCUGGUCAUGCUCCAGGGGGUGGGAGGAGGCCUGGGAGGUGGGGCUGGUUUCUCAGAGACCCAGGACACUUGUUUCAAAAUCGGACGGAAAAAAAAAUGAACUUCUAAGACACAAAAGGUCACAUGCUGCAUGAUUCCAUUUAUAUGAAAUAUCCAGAAUAGGAAAAUCCUAAGAGACAGAAGGUAAAUUAGUGGUUGCCAGAGUCUGGGGAGAAGGGGAGAGUGGGCAGCGAUUGCUAAUGUGUUUGGGGUAUCUUGUUGGGGUGAUUAAAAUGUCCUGAAUUAGAUUGUGGUGAAGGUGGCACAAUCUUGAGACUAUACUAAAAACCACUGAAUUGUAUAUUUUAAAGUGGUCUACUUUAUGGCAUGUGGAUUAUAUCUCAAUAAAGCUAGUUGUUUUUGUUUUGUUUUGUUUUGUUUUUGUUUUGUUUUGUUUUAAAGACUAGGGAGUUAGGGACAGAAAAAGAAAAGGAGAGAAUCAAGAACAUUAGCAUAAUGUGUAAUCUUUAGCCAAAUAAAUAAGAAAUGUGUUAAAACAGAAAAAAAGCGAGAUGAGGUUAUACUAAACUAAAAUUAGAAAACAGGUUUCAUCUGGUGUAUUGACUCUGUUCGUGGCUUUUUGGAGUGCUGAGCUAGAGGUUUUAAGGCUGCAUUUAGACUCAAAAAGAUCAAACAGUGUGAUCACUUAGUGAUGUCUGCUCGAGGCACAGGCGACUAAGGAGGAGGUGCAUGGGGCAAGUACCUGCCUUCCCUGCCUGCAACUGAUCUCAGCAGUCCCUCCCAGCUUUCACACUCCCAAGCCCGAAAUGUGGGCUACAGGGAUUGGGGUUAGAAGAGAAGGGAGGUAAGACCAAGGCAGUUGAGCAUCCAGCUAGACCCCACUACAUCUACACCUGCUGGGGCUUGCCUUCAUCUUCCCCACACCAGCUUCAUUCUUUUAAGGACCACCUCC
RNAcentral lists this long non-coding RNA (2751 nucleotides) under Sus scrofa (pig). RNAcentral describes it as "lncRNA (ENSSSCG00025055829.1)". Lineage: Eukaryota; Metazoa; Chordata; Mammalia; Artiodactyla; Suidae. The record is from RNAcentral.